RNAcentral lists this ribosomal RNA (497 nucleotides) under uncultured bacterium. RNAcentral describes it as "partial 16S ribosomal RNA". It matches the Rfam family "Bacterial small subunit ribosomal RNA", at positions 28 to 507 of the family's 1533-position model. The record is from RNAcentral.
GAUGAACGCUGGCGGCGUGCCUAAUACAUGCAAGUCGAGCGAACGGACGAGAAGCUUGCUUUUCUGAUGUUAGCGGCGGACGGGUGAGUAACACGUGGAUAACCUACCUAUAAGACUGGGAUAACUUCGGGAAACCGGAGCUAAUACCGGAUAAUAUUUUGAACCGCAUGGUUCAAAAGUGAAAGACGGUCUUGCUGUCACUUAUAGAUGGAUCCGCGCUGCAUUAGCUAGUUGGUAAGGUAACGGCUUACCAAGGCAACGAUGCAUAGCCGACCUGAGAGGGUGAUCGGCCACACUGGAACUGAGACACGGUCCAGACUCCUACGGGAGGCAGCAGUAGGGAAUCUUCCGCAAUGGGCGAAAGCCUGACGGAGCAACGCCGCGUGAGUGAUGAAGGUCUUCGGAUCGUAAAACUCUGUUAUUAGGGAAGAACAUAUGUGUAAGUAACUGUGCACAUCUUGACUGUACCUAAUCAGAAAGCCACGGCUAACUACGUG